CCUACGGGUGGCUGCAGUGGGGAAUAUUGGACAAUGGGCGAAAGCCUGAUCCAGCCAUGCCGCAUGUGUGAAGAAGGCCUUCGGGUUGUAAAGCACUUUCAGUGGGGAAGAAAGCCUUGGGGCUAAUACCCUCGAGGAAGGACAUCACCCACAGAAGAAGCACCGGCUAACUCCGUGCCAGCAGCCGCGGUAAUACGGAGGGUGCGAGCGUUAAUCGGAAUUACUGGGCGUAAAGCGCGCGUAGGCGGUCUGAUAAGCCGGUUGUGAAAGCCCCGGGCUCAACCUGGGAACGGCAUCCGGAACUGUCAGGCUAGAGUGCAGGAGAGGAAGGUAGAAUUCCCGGUGUAGCGGUGAAAUGCGUAGAGAUCGGGAGGAAUACCAGUGGCGAAGGCGGCCUUCUGGACUGACACUGACGCUGAGGUGCGAAAGCGUGGGUAGCAAACAGGAUUAGAUACCCUAGUAGU
RNAcentral lists this ribosomal RNA (464 nucleotides) under Vreelandella stevensii. Its description in RNAcentral is "partial 16S ribosomal RNA". It matches the Rfam family "Bacterial small subunit ribosomal RNA", at positions 338 to 794 of the family's 1533-position model. The record is from RNAcentral. Lineage: Bacteria; Pseudomonadati; Pseudomonadota; Gammaproteobacteria; Oceanospirillales; Halomonadaceae.